GCGGCUGCACCACUGGGAUACCCUGAUCCAACAUCGAGGUCGUAAACCCACCUGUCGAUAGGGGCUCUUGAGAUGGAUUGCGCUGUUAUCCCUAGGGUAACUUGGUUCGUUGCUCAAAAUAUUGGGUCAAUUUAUGUCAGUUUAUUGGUGCUUAAAGUUGUGGCUUUUGGCUCAAGAGUAGCUCUAUUCAUCAUGGAGGAUAAUUUUUGCUCCGCGGUCACCCCAACCCAAAACUAAUAGUUAAAAGGCUAGAGUUAGUAUAAGGCCCCCGGGGGGGGGUGUAAAUGGAUAAAAGCCAAUACUAUUUAGUUUGAAGCUCCAUAGGGUCUUCUCGUCUUAUAUUUAAAUCCCCGCUUCUUCACGGGGAGAUUAGUUUCAUUGAUUAGAAAAAGGAGACAGUGUAACCUUCGUGGUGCCAUUCAUACUAGUCCUCAUUUAAAGAACAAGUGAUUACGCUACCUUCGCACGGUUAGGAUACCGCGGCCGUUGAACUGGGUCACUGGGCAGGCUGGACCUCUUAUAUUGGUGCAAGAGGCGAUGUUUUUGGUAAACAGGCGAGGUUAAUAUUUGCCGAGUUCCUUCUUUUUCUUUAAAUCUUUCUUGAAAUGUGCUAGUGUCAGAUUAACGUUAAGAAUAACAGGGUUUUCUAGUGGGGUUGCUGUUGCAAAAUCAUAAACGUUUAAUUAUCAGUGGUAAGUCCUUUCUGAUCUACACCUACAUUUAAGAGAAGUGCUGUCUUCUUAUUACUAGUUUCAACAUAAGGGCUUCUAUAGUGUUAUAGAAUAACUUAAUAUAAAUAAAGGG
RNAcentral lists this ribosomal RNA (804 nucleotides) under Dendropsophus leucophyllatus (Bereis' treefrog). Its description in RNAcentral is "partial 16S ribosomal RNA". The record is from RNAcentral. Lineage: Eukaryota; Metazoa; Chordata; Amphibia; Anura; Hylidae.